This is a long non-coding RNA of Hipposideros armiger (great roundleaf bat), 458 nucleotides long. RefSeq lists it as uncharacterized. The transcript has 2 exons. The record is from RefSeq and is a predicted model, not a curated record. Lineage: Eukaryota; Metazoa; Chordata; Mammalia; Chiroptera; Hipposideridae.
ACCUUGGUCCUGAUUCACUGCAAGUGUUAAGCAUUUUAAAAAAUGUAAUAGUUAAUAUAAGGAAAAUAUGACACAGACUUCUAAGUUAUGAAGCAUAAUGAAGUGACUCAGUCAUCCAACUUCAGAGUAGAACGCCACCAAUGCCACGCAGUUCCAGGGAACUUCCCUCUGCCAAGAGACAAGCACAAAGGGGGAAUGCCAAGUGAAGAUGAAAGCAGAUUCGGGUGACACAUCUACCAGCCAAGGAAUUCAAAGAUGGCCAGCAAACUACCAGAAGCGAGGAGAGAGACAUUACUCUCCCUCACGGCCCUCAGAAAGAACCAACCCUUUCCACACAUUCAUCUUGGCUCUCUAGCCUCUAGAACCGUGAGACAAUACAGUUCUGUUGUUUAAGCCUUGUGGCACUAAUACAUUUCUCAGAAAUGUGACAUGAUAAAAGGUUAAGGAAAUUUUUCACA